This 441-nucleotide ribosomal RNA is filed under the name uncultured bacterium. RNAcentral describes it as "partial 16S ribosomal RNA". It matches the Rfam family "Bacterial small subunit ribosomal RNA", at positions 338 to 795 of the family's 1533-position model. The record is from RNAcentral.
CCUACGGGAGGCAGCAGUGGGGAAUAUUGCACAAUGGGGGAAACCCUGAUGCAGCGACGCCGCGUGAGUGAAGAAGUAUUUCGGUAUGUAAAGCUCUAUCAGCAGGGAAGAAAAAAGACGGUACCUGACUAAGAAGCCCCGGCUAACUACGUGCCAGCAGCCGCGGUAAUACAUAGGGGGCAAGCGUUAUCCGGAUUUACUGGGUGUAAAGGGGGCGCAGACGGCGAUGCAAGCCAGGAGUGAAAGCGCGGGGCCCAACCCCGGGACUGCUCUUGGAACUGCGUGGCUAGAGUGCAGGAGGGGCAGGCGGAAUUCCUGGUGUAGCGGUGAAAUGCGUAGAUAUCAGGAGGAACACCGGUGGCGAAGGCGGCCUGCUGGACUGCAACUGACGUUGAGGCCCGAAAGCGUGGGGAGCAAACAGGAUUAGAUACCCGAGUAGUC